This 437-nucleotide ribosomal RNA is filed under the name uncultured Oscillospiraceae bacterium. RNAcentral describes it as "bacterial SSU rRNA". It matches the Rfam family "Bacterial small subunit ribosomal RNA", at positions 341 to 792 of the family's 1533-position model. Lineage: Bacteria; Bacillati; Bacillota; Clostridia; Eubacteriales; Oscillospiraceae. The record is from RNAcentral.
ACGGAAGGCAGCAGUGGGGAAUAUUGGGCAAUGGGCGAAAGCCUGACCCAGCAACGCCGCGUGAAGGAAGAAGGUCUUCGGAUUGUAAACUUCUUUUAUAAGGGACGAAGAAAGUGACGGUACCUUAUGAAUAAGCCACGGCUAACUACGUGCCAGCGGCCGCGGUAAUACGUAGGUGGCAAGCGUUAUCCGGAUUUACUGGGUGUAAAGGGCGCGUAGGCGGGGAUGCAAGUCAGAUGUGGAAUCCAUGGGCUUAACCCAUGAACUGCAUUUGAAACUGUAUCUCUUGAGUGCUGGAGAGGUAGACGGAAUUCCUUGUGUAGCGGUGAAAUGCGUAGAUAUAAGGAAGAACACCAGUGGCGAAGGCGGUCUACUGGACAGUAACUGACGCUGAGGCGCGAAAGCAUGGGGAGCAAACAGGAUUAGAUACCCUGGUA